CCUACGGGAGGCAGCAGUGGGGAAUCUUGCGCAAUGGGCGAAAGCCUGACGCAGCCACGCCGCGUGCGGGAUGAAGGCCCUAGGGUUGUAAACCGCUUUUAACAGGAACGAAAAUGACGGUACCUGUAGAAUAAGGUGCGGCCAACUACGUGCCAGCAGCCGCGGUGACACGUAGGCACCAAGCGUUGUCCGGAUUUAUUGGGCGUAAAGAGCUCGUAGGCGGUUCAGUAAGUCGGGUGUGAAAACUCUGGGCUUAACCCAGAGACGCCACUCGAUACUAUUGUGACUAGAGUUCGGUAGGGGAGCGGGGAAUUCCUAGUGUAGCGGUGAAAUGCGCAGAUAUUAGGAGGAACACCGAUGGCGAAGGCGCCGCUCUGGGCCGAUACUGACGCUGAGGAGCGAAAGCGUGGGUAGCAAACAGGAUUAGAUACCCUGGUAGUCCACGCCGUAAACGGUGGGCACUAGGUGUGGGUUCCAACCACGGAACGCGCGCCGUCGCUACGACAUAGUCGCCCGCCGUGGGAGGUACGGCCGCGAACGUUAAACGUACGAAGAAGUAGACGGCGUGAGACGNGCGACGACGACGACGAGGGAGUUAGG
This 600-nucleotide ribosomal RNA is filed under the name uncultured bacterium. RNAcentral describes it as "bacterial SSU rRNA". The stretch from base 1 to 518 matches the Rfam family "Bacterial small subunit ribosomal RNA", at positions 338 to 873 of the family's 1533-position model. The record is from RNAcentral.